This 522-nucleotide ribosomal RNA is filed under the name uncultured Bacilli bacterium. Its description in RNAcentral is "bacterial SSU rRNA". It matches the Rfam family "Bacterial small subunit ribosomal RNA", at positions 390 to 903 of the family's 1533-position model. Lineage: Bacteria; Bacillati; Bacillota; Bacilli. The record is from RNAcentral.
GAACACGCCGCGUGAGUGAUGAAGGCUUUCGGGUCGUAAAACUCUGUUGUUAGGGAAGAACAAGUACGAGAGUAACUGCUCGUACCUUGACGGUACCUAACCAGAAAGCCACGGCUAACUACGUGCCAGCAGCCGCGGUAAUACGUAGGUGGCAAGCGUUAUCCGGAAUUAUUGGGCGUAAAGCGCGCGCAGGCGGUUUCUUAAGUCNGAUGUGAAAGCCCACGGCUCAACCGUGGAGGGUCAUUGGAAACUGGGGAACUUGAGUGCAGAAGAGAAAAGCGGAAUUCCACGUGUAGCGGUGAAAUGCGUAGAGAUGUGGAGGAACACCAGUGGCGAAGGCGGCUUUUUGGUCUGUAACUGACGCUGAGGCGCGAAAGCGUGGGGAGCAAACAGGAUUAGAUACCCUGGUAGUCCGCGCCGUAAACGAUGAGUGCUAAGUGUUAGAGGGUUUCCGCCCUUUAGUGCUGCAGCUAACGCAUUAAGCACUCCGCCUGGGGAGUACGGUCGCAAGACUGAAACUCA